AACGAACGCUGGCGGCAGGCUUAACACAUGCAAGUCGAACGCACCUUCCGGGGUGAGUGGCUGACGGGCGAGUAACGCGUGGGAAUCUACCCUACUCUACGGGAGAGCUCCGGGAAACUGGAAUUAAUACCGCAAACGUCCGGAGGGAGAAAGAUUUAUCGGGGGAGGAUGAGCCCGCGUUGGAUUAGCUAGUUGGUGGGGUAAAGGCCUACCAAGGCGACGAUCCAUAGCUGGUCUAAGAGGAUGAUCCGCCACAUUGGGACUGAGACACGGCCCAAACACCUACGGGAGGCAGCAGUGUGGUAUAUUGUACACUGGGCGCAAGCCUGAUCCCGCCAUGCCGCGUAAGUGAUGAAGGCCCUAGGAUUGUAAAUCUCUUUCAGUCGGGACGAUAAUGACGGUACCCACAGAAGAAGCCCCGGCUAACUUCGUG
Molecule: ribosomal RNA, 433 nt
Filed under: uncultured bacterium
Lineage: Bacteria
Description: partial 16S ribosomal RNA
Rfam family: Bacterial small subunit ribosomal RNA
Source: RNAcentral